Molecule: ribosomal RNA, 301 nt
Filed under: uncultured bacterium
Lineage: Bacteria
Description: partial 16S ribosomal RNA
Rfam family: Bacterial small subunit ribosomal RNA
Source: RNAcentral
CAGCAGCCGCGGGAAUACGUAGGGUGCAAGCGUUAAUCGGAAUUAUUGGGCGUAAAGCGUGCGCAGGCGGUUCGUUAAGACAGAUGUGAAAUCCCCGGGCUUAACCUGGGAACUGCAUUUGUGACUGGCGGGCUAGAGUAAGGCAGAGGGGGGUAGAAUUCCACGUGUAGCAGUGAAAUGCGUAGAGAUGUGGAGGAAUACCGAUGGCGAAGGCAGCCCCCUGGGCCAAUACUGACGCUCAUGCACGAAAGCGUGGGGAGCAAACAGGAUUAGAUACCCCAGUAGUCCCUGUCUCUUAUAC